GAAAGAGAACACUUGAGAGUCUGCAGAGGGCUUGGCAAGACAAAGACCCUGGAAAACAUUUUGGAUUUCGCCUGUAGUGCUCAGAUUUCAUGCUUCAGAGGCUCUUCUGACGUUUGUAAGCUGCAGUCAUCCCUCUUACUUCAUAGCAUUUUAACAACUAUUUUCCGUUCAUUAAAAAAGGGCUGAUGUCUCACUCAUGCAUCAUGAAGACAGACAAUCACACCCUGGAAUUGUGCAAUUCACCCAGUAGCUUGCCCCAAGAAUAGAAGGACAAAGCUAUUCUGAAGAUAAUGAAGGAAGAGCCAAUAGACUGUCAAGGGAGAGCUGCACUGGCAAUGAUGAAAGCAAGGAAGGUGGUAGAGCCACCAAGAAUGAGACAAGAACUAGGAUACUUUGGAACGAAAGGAAUCAGUGGAUUUAUUCAUUGGAGUGAUGGAGAGGUGCUCUCAGGUUAAAAAGAUAUGUCCAAUUUAACUGCUGCCGAAGAGGGUCACUAAGUAGUUGGUCUAUGAUUCCAGAGUCUUGAAGGAGGAUUCUGCUUCCUUUCCCCUACAAAAUGGUUUGGAAGACAAUCCUGUUUUUCUUCAAUGACAGGGAUACAGUGACUGAGGUAUGGAUGAACUGAAAUACAUCUUUUGUGGGAGGGGGAAAGGAUUAGAAACCAUCAACAUGCUGUGGUGUACUGAACAGUAUGCCACAUUUUCCAAGUGAAAAGAGGAAAUCUUUAAAGUUGGGAUUUGCUUAGUAUGUGCCCCAGUACCUAUGUUUGGCUCAGCAUCCACAAAUUCUUGCUUCUCAGGACCUUUUUAAAAAACAAACAAACAGUUCCUCUAUGUGAACUGAGUUUGCAUUGAUUAGUGAAAAAUCUUUAAUGAAAGCAAACUUGACAUCAUUUCCAUUGAUAAUAAACCUAUUAAAAAGAAGCA
This 926-nucleotide long non-coding RNA is filed under the name Chrysemys picta bellii (western painted turtle). RNAcentral describes it as "lncRNA (ENSCPBG00000003458.1)". The record is from RNAcentral. Lineage: Eukaryota; Metazoa; Chordata; Testudines; Emydidae.